CACGUAGGGCGCAAGCGUUGUCCGGAAUUAUUGGGCGUAAAGAGCUCGUAGGCGGUCUGUUGCGUCCGCUGUGAAAACUCGGGGCUUAACCCCGAGCCUGCAGUGGAUACGGGCAGACUAGAGGUAGGUAGGGGAGAAUGGAAUUCCUGGUGUAGCGGUGGAAUGCGCAGAUAUCAGGAGGAACACCGGUGGCGAAGGCGGCUUGCUGGGCCUUACCUGACGCUGAGGAGCGAAAGCGUGGGGAGCGAACAGG
This 253-nucleotide ribosomal RNA is filed under the name uncultured bacterium. Its description in RNAcentral is "partial 16S ribosomal RNA". It matches the Rfam family "Bacterial small subunit ribosomal RNA", at positions 524 to 776 of the family's 1533-position model. The record is from RNAcentral.